AACGAACGCUGGCGGCGCGCCUAAUACAUGCAAGUCGAGCGAGAAGACGUAGCAAUACGUUUGUAAAGCGGCGAACGGGUGAGGAAUACAUGGGUAACCUACCCUCGAGUGGGGAAUAACUAGCCGAAAGGUUAGCUAAUACCGCGUACGCUCCUUGGACUUCGGUUCAGGGAGGAAAGCGAUACCGUGGGUAUCGCGCUCUUGGAUGGGCUCAUGUCCUAUCAGCUUGUUGGUGAGGAACGGCUCACCAAGGCUUCGACGGGUAGCUGGUCUGAGAGGACAAUCAGCCACACUGGCACUGCGACACGGGCCAGACUCCUACGGGAGGCAGCAGUAAGGAAUAUUGCGCAAUGGGCGAAAGCCUGACGCAGCGACGCCGCGUGGGGGAUGAAGGUCUUCGGAUUGUAAACCCCUUUCGGGAGGGAAGAUGGAACGAGCAAUCGUUCGGACGGUACCUCCAGAAGCAGCCACGGCUAACUUCGUGCCAGCAGCGCCGU
RNAcentral lists this ribosomal RNA (497 nucleotides) under uncultured bacterium. RNAcentral's name for it is "bacterial SSU rRNA". It matches the Rfam family "Bacterial small subunit ribosomal RNA", at positions 29 to 521 of the family's 1533-position model. The record is from RNAcentral.